GGCUUCGGUAACCUACUCCUGAGAACGCACGAAUCUCGUCUGAUCUUCGGAAGCUAAGCAGGGUUUGGUCUGGUAAGUUACGUGGAUGGGAAGACAACCUGGGAGUACCAAGGUGCUGUAAGCU
Astyanax mexicanus (Mexican tetra) is the source of this 124-nucleotide non-coding RNA. The record is from Rfam. NCBI's taxonomy places the organism in Eukaryota, Metazoa, Chordata, Actinopteri, Characiformes, Acestrorhamphidae.